AGAACGAACGCUGGCGGCAUGCCUAACACAUGCAAGUCGAACGUGAUCCAGGCUUCGGCCUGGUGAAAGUGGCAGACGGGUGAGUAACGCGUGGGAACCUGCCCUGUGGUAGGGAAUAACCGUGGGAAACUGCGGCUAAUACCCUAUGAGUCCUUCGGGAGAAAGAUUUAUCGCCAUAGGAGGGGCCCGCGUCGGAUUAGGUAGUUGGUGGGGUAACGGCCUACCAAGCCUUCGAUCCGUAGCUGGUCUGAGAGGAUGAUCAGCCACACUGGGACUGAGAUACGGCCCAGACUCCUACGGGAGGCAGCAGUGGGGAAUAUUGGACAAUGGGGGCAACCCUGAUCCAGCAAUGCCGCGUGGAUGAUGAAGGCCUUGGGUUGUAAAGUCCUUUCGGCGGGGAAGAUGAUGACGGUACCCGCAGAAGAACGCCCGGCUAACUUCGUGCCAGCAGCCGC
Molecule: ribosomal RNA, 455 nt
Filed under: uncultured bacterium
Lineage: Bacteria
Description: SSU rRNA
Rfam family: Bacterial small subunit ribosomal RNA
Source: RNAcentral